Molecule: unclassified non-coding RNA, 1737 nt
Filed under: Centruroides sculpturatus (bark scorpion)
Lineage: Eukaryota; Metazoa; Arthropoda; Arachnida; Scorpiones; Buthidae
Description: zinc finger protein ZIC 4-like, transcript variant X2
Source: RNAcentral
AUUUGUAAAGACGGCGGCGAUAUGGUGGACGAGAGAAGGCGUAAAUGGCCAGGGAGGGGAGGCGUUGUGGGUUCGUCCGUGGCACUCUAAACAAACGGGACGCAUUCCCGUCGGCGGACGUCUACAAAUCACCGCGGCAGCGCGUCUCGCGCGCCUCCCUCCGAGAGGCGGGGACGCGAGAAGGCUCGCUAUUGGAGGAGGGAGAAGCGGCGCAGGGGGUGAUCCAAUGGGCGUCGCCGGCCGGGAGAGUAGUCGAGUUGUAGGAGGCAGGUUACGUGCAGCUGCCAUUAAGUGCGCGAUUAUGGAACACGGCGUAGGGAAACGCACGCCGGCGCUGUACCUCGUGGACGUGGCGAGUCAACCCGUCAAUGGACUACCCGCUUUCGGGUACCCGAGCGGCCACGUCCAGGAGCCGUCGGCGGACAUGUUGAACCCGUUCGUGGACACCCACAUCAAACUGAGUCCACCCCACGGAAUGACGGAUCCGUCGGGAGGACACCAGUUCUCUAGUCAGAACGGAUACGGAGUGUCGCAUCACCACCCCUACGCAUCCAGGGACUUCAUCUUCCAUCGCGAGCCUCCCGCCCCCCACGGCAUGUUCGUGCACGGAGGACACGCUCCCGACAUAUUUUCGGGUCUGGAUCACCACCACCCUCCCGGUCACCAGGUCAGGCUGUCCAUCCCUCCCGCGGACGUGUACGGAAGACCGGAACCCUUCAACCAGAUGCCCACACCCACCUCGUACGGCGGAGGACCGGGGGCCUUCUUCCGUUACGUCAGGCCCCCGGUCAAACAAGAGCUCACCUGUCUGUGGGUGGAACAGGACCAGAUGACGCCCAGGAAGCCGUGCAACAAGACUUUCACCUCCAUGCACGAGAUCGUCACGCACAUCGGCGUGGAACACGUCGGAGGACCCGAGUGCACCAAUCACGCCUGCUAUUGGCAGGAUUGUUGUCGCAACGGAAGACCCUUUAAGGCCAAGUACAAACUGGUCAAUCACAUCCGGGUUCACACGGGGGAGAAACCCUUCCCCUGUCCUUUCCCCGGCUGCGGCAAGGUGUUUGCCAGGAGCGAAAAUCUCAAAAUACACAAGAGGACCCACACAGGUGAAAAACCCUUCAAAUGUGAAUACGAAGGUUGCGACAGAAGGUUCGCCAACAGCUCGGACAGGAAGAAGCACUCGCACGUGCACACCAGCGACAAACCUUACAACUGUAAGAUCCGCGGUUGCGACAAGAGCUACACCCACCCCAGUUCUCUGAGGAAACACAUGAAGGUUCACGGAAAGUCUUCUCCACCCCCGGGUGCCACGCCGGGUUCCGGGGGGAGCGGAUCCGGCUACGACAGCGACAGCCAGCCCGCGGGUACGGUGUUGCCCGGUCACGUGGUCUCGGAGGGGGGACACCCGGCCAACCUGGCCGAAUGGUACGUCUGUCAGCCGUCCGUCGGCAUGCCCACACCGCCCGACAAUUCCCCCCUGACCCACCCCCACCACCUGCAUUCUACGUCUUACUAAUCCGUCUACGGCCGUGUUCCGGUGCAGGACUCCAGCACCUUCCCCCCGCACCACUCGGACUCGGCGCACGAGCCUGACGUGGGUCGUCUACCUCGCAGUGUACAGAGCGGUAGAAGGCUCGUUGGAAGGGAGCGACGUUUUGUACAGAUCGCGCGAUGCUCCGUAUGUAUCCAUUAUUGUUCGUAUGACGAAUUUUAAAUAAAAAAAAAAAUAUCCGUGUA